UGGGGUAAGGCUCCCAGUAGACGACUGGGUUGAUAGGCCAGAUAUGGAAGCACCGUAAGGUGUGGAGUUGACUGGUACUAAUAGGCCGAGGGCUUGUCCUC
RNAcentral lists this ribosomal RNA (101 nucleotides) under Streptomyces tagetis. Its description in RNAcentral is "Streptomyces sp. RG38 Bacterial large subunit ribosomal RNA". It matches the Rfam family "Bacterial large subunit ribosomal RNA", at positions 2824 to 2925 of the family's 2925-position model. Lineage: Bacteria; Bacillati; Actinomycetota; Actinomycetes; Kitasatosporales; Streptomycetaceae. The record is from Rfam by way of RNAcentral.